AAGGCAGAGAAAAAAUAUUUUUGUGAGAGAAAGUGUAUUUAAAUCCAAAUAAUACUUUGAUUAAUUGAUACAAGAGUAUCAAUUCAAUAUGGCUGCAGAGCGACUCGAUGAAACAACAAGGAAAGGAAAAAAAAUUCGGUGAAGAAGCAAGCAGAGAGAAAGAAAAAAUUGAUAUUCAGAAUUUUUGAUAAAACUGAAGAAUGAUAAAACAAAACUAAUCUAAGGGUUCGUUUG
This 234-nucleotide long non-coding RNA is filed under the name Trifolium pratense (red clover). Its description in RNAcentral is "long non-coding RNA (TPRA_LNC000615)". The record is from RNAcentral. Lineage: Eukaryota; Viridiplantae; Streptophyta; Magnoliopsida; Fabales; Fabaceae.